RNAcentral lists this ribosomal RNA (116 nucleotides) under Microcaldota archaeon. The record is from RNAcentral. Lineage: Archaea; Nanobdellati; Microcaldota.
UGUAGCGGCCAUAGGGGCGGGGAAACACCCGUUCCCUUUCCGAACACGGAAGUUAAGCCCGCCCACGGAGCCCCCAGUACUCCGUUGAAGCGGGGGAAAGGGCUCUGCCGCUACAC